This 851-nucleotide ribosomal RNA is filed under the name Arthrobacter sp. RNAcentral describes it as "bacterial SSU rRNA". It matches the Rfam family "Bacterial small subunit ribosomal RNA", at positions 181 to 1041 of the family's 1533-position model. The record is from RNAcentral. Lineage: Bacteria; Bacillati; Actinomycetota; Actinomycetes; Micrococcales; Micrococcaceae.
CGCUCCGCGCAUGUGGUGGUGGUGGAAAGCUUUUGUGGUUUUGGAUGGACUCGCGGCCUAUCAGCUUGUUGGUGGGGUAAUGGCCUACCAAGGCGACGACGGGUAGCCGGCCUGAGAGGGUGACCGGCCACACUGGGACUGAGACACGGCCCAGACUCCUACGGGAGGCAGCAGUGGGGAAUAUUGCACAAUGGGCGCAAGCCUGAUGCAGCGACGCCGCGUGAGGGAUGACGGCCUUCGGGUUGUAAACCUCUUUCAGUAGGGAAGAAGCCGCAAGGUGACGGUACCUGCAGAAGAAGCGCCGGCUAACUACGUGCCAGCAGCCGCGGUAAUACGUAGGGCGCAAGCGUUAUCCGGAAUUAUUGGGCGUAAAGAGCUCGUAGGCGGUUUGUCGCGUCUGCUGUGAAAGACCGGGGCUCAACUCCGGUUCUGCAGUGGGUACGGGCAGACUAGAGUGAUGUAGGGGAGACUGGAAUUCCUGGUGUAGCGGUGAAAUGCGCAGAUAUCAGGAGGAACACCGAUGGCGAAGGCAGGUCUCUGGGCAUUAACUGACGCUGAGGAGCGAAAGCAUGGGGAGCGAACAGGAUUAGAUACCCUGGUAGUCCAUGCCGUAAACGUUGGGCACUAGGUGUGGGGGACAUUCCACGUUUUCCGCGCCGUAGCUAACGCAUUAAGUGCCCCGCCUGGGGAGUACGGCCGCAAGGCUAAAACUCAAAGGAAUUGACGGGGGCCCGCACAAGCGGCGGAGCAUGCGGAUUAAUUCGAUGCAACGCGAAGAACCUUACCAAGGCUUGACAUGAACCGGUAACGCCUGGAAACAGGUGCCCCGCUUGCGGUCGGUUUACAGGUGG